UACGAAGGGGGCUAGCGUUGUUCGGAAUUACUGGGCGUAAAGCGCACGUAGGCGGAUUUGUAAGUCAGGGGUGAAAUCCCGGGGCUCAACCUCGGAACUGCCUUUGAUACUGCGGGUCUUGAGUCCGAUAGAGGUGGGUGGAAUUCCUAGUGUAGAGGUGAAAUUCGUAGAUAUUCGCAAGAACACCAGUGGCGAAGGCGGCUCACUGGCCCGAUACUGACGCUGAGGCACGAAAGCGUGGGGAGCAAACAGG
This 253-nucleotide ribosomal RNA is filed under the name uncultured bacterium. RNAcentral's name for it is "partial 16S ribosomal RNA". It matches the Rfam family "Bacterial small subunit ribosomal RNA", at positions 524 to 776 of the family's 1533-position model. The record is from RNAcentral.